AUUAAGGAAAACAUCAAACGAUUAAACUAGUAUUAGAUAAAAUGCUCAAAUGAGCUGAAACCAUGAAUACCUUCCUAAUUUGUGUUCUAUUCUGUUAUGUCUCAAAGUAGAUUGAGAUUGCUAGAAUUUCCGGAAUGUUAUAGUAACUUAAGCAAAGCUUAAACAAGGUAUAUAUGGAUAAAACCCCGUCUCAUAGAAAUUGAGCUUCUGUGGUUCCCAUGUCAAUGUUGUAAGCGAAAUGUGAGUGAUGCAGUACUUGUUUUUGUUAUGUUAAGGAAAUUACUAUUGUAAAAAUGCACAUGGUAGACACUUCUUCCUAUGUUUAAUGUGUUAUUCUUUAUAAAUGAGGAUAUGUGAAGAAUAUGAACUAAGUGCUAAAAUGCCUAGAUUUUAAGUCAAGUUUAAUUUAAAAUUAUUAUGCCAAACUAUGUGAAAUGCUCUAUCUAUCAAGAUAUUUGAAGUAAUCAAAUAAAUUUGGGAAAUAGGAUGUGGCCAAUAUAUCGAGAACUUGAAUUAUAAUUGUACUUGCUGAUGCCUAUCACAUGAAAAAAUAUGAAACCGAUUAUGAAAUGAGCCUCGACCUUCCUUUCCAUAAAUGACUUCAAUAAUAAAGUGCCCUAGAGGCUUUGUACACAAUUUAUGCCAUAAGUGGCCAUUCGAGAUAAUGUUUUGCCUUAUGAGUACAUCCAAUGUGAUCCGAGUUGUUACAUACUUCGAUGU
RNAcentral lists this long non-coding RNA (720 nucleotides) under Nicotiana benthamiana. RNAcentral describes it as "long non-coding RNA (NBEN_LNC024234)". The record is from RNAcentral. Lineage: Eukaryota; Viridiplantae; Streptophyta; Magnoliopsida; Solanales; Solanaceae.